UACGGGGGGUGUAAGCGUGGUUCGGAAUUACUGGGCGUAAAGGGCUCGUAGGCGGCCAACUAAGUCAUACGUGAAAUCCCUCAGCUUAACUGGGGAACUGCGUGUGAUACUGGAUGGCUUGGAUUUGGGAGAGGGAUGCGGAAUUCCAGGUGUAGCGGUGAAAUGCGUAGAUAUCUGGAGGAACGCCGGUGGCGAAGGCGGCAUCCUGGACCAAUAUUGACGCUGAGGCGCGAAAGCCAGGGGAGCAAACGGG
RNAcentral lists this ribosomal RNA (253 nucleotides) under uncultured bacterium. RNAcentral describes it as "partial 16S ribosomal RNA". It matches the Rfam family "Bacterial small subunit ribosomal RNA", at positions 524 to 776 of the family's 1533-position model. The record is from RNAcentral.